This 460-nucleotide ribosomal RNA is filed under the name uncultured bacterium. Its description in RNAcentral is "partial 16S ribosomal RNA". It matches the Rfam family "Bacterial small subunit ribosomal RNA", at positions 338 to 795 of the family's 1533-position model. The record is from RNAcentral.
CCUACGGGAGGCAGCAGUGAGGAAUAUUGGUCAAUGGACGAAAGUCUGAACCAGCCAAGUCGCGUGAAGGAAGAAGGAUCUAUGGGUUGUAAACUUCUUUUAUAGGGGAAUAAAAGGAGGCACGUGUGGAUAUUUGCAUGUACCCUAUGAAUAAGGAUCGGCUAACUCCGUGCCAGCAGCCGCGGUAAUACGGAGGAUGCGAGCGUUAUCCGGAUUUAUUGGGUUUACAGGGUGCGUAGGGGGUUUGUUAAGUCAGCGGUGAAAGUUUGUGGCUCAACCCUAAAAUUGCCGUUGAAACGGGCAGUCUUGAGUGUGUUUGAGGUAGGCGGAAUGCGUGUUGUAGCGGUGAAAUGCUUAGAUAUCACGCAGAACUCCGAUUGCGAAGGCAGCUUACUAAGCCAUAACUGACACUGAUGCUCGACAGCGUGGGUAUCAAACAGGAUUAGAUACCCUUGUAGUC